AUAAAGUUUAAUUCUGACUUAAAGAUUAAUUUAAUUUUUUUUUUACAUGUAAAUUUUUGUGUGAUUAUUAAUUAAAUUUUAAAAAUUUUUUUAAAAGAGUUUUAUUCGCAGUAUUUAAUAUUAAUAAUUUAAGAAAUUAAGAAUUAGAAAUUAAUUUUAAUAUUAACAAAUUUUGUGCCAGCAGUUGCGGUUAUACAAAAGAUGUAAAUUAAUUUUAUUAGUAAAUAAUUAUAUGAAUUUAUAUAAUAAUUUAAAAUUAUAUUUAUUAGGUGAAAUUUUUAAAUAUAAAUUUAAUUUAUAUUAAAGUUUUUAUUAUUAUGAAAUUUAUUUUUAAACUAGGAUUAGAUACCCUAUUAUUUUAAAUGUAAAAUUUUUUUGCUAAAGAAGUAUUAGUUAUGUUCUUGAAAUUUAAAGAUUUUGGCGGUAUUUUAGUCUAUUUAGAGGAACCUGUUCUAUAAUUGAUAAUCCACGAUUAACUUUACUUAUUUUAUAAAUUUGUAUACCGUCGUUAUAAGAAAAUUUUAUUAGAAUAUGAAUUUUUAAUAUUUUAUAUUAAAAUAUAUAUCAGAUCAAGGUGCAGUAAAUAUUUAAGAAGAAAUGGGUUACAAUAAAUUUAUUUAUACGGAUAAAAAUAAGAAUAAUUUUUUGAAGGUGGAUUUAAUAGUAAUAAAAUUUAAUUUAAUUUUAUGAUUUUAGCUCUAAAAUAUGUACAUAUCGCCCGUCGCUCUUAUUAUAAGAUAAGAUAAGUCGUAACAUAGUAGAUGUACUGGAAAGUGUAUCUAGAAUGA
RNAcentral lists this non-coding RNA (788 nucleotides) under Harpalus sinicus. Lineage: Eukaryota; Metazoa; Arthropoda; Insecta; Coleoptera; Carabidae. The record is from RNAcentral.